CACAUCGAACGGUAGCACACUGGGCCACCUACUUUUGCCUCUGUUGCUAGAUGCAUAACCAAAUGCACCAUAACAGUGAAAAAACCUGGCAGGAAUAUCAUCUCCAUAUGACAUAAUGUCAUUAUGAUUCUCUCCUCCAACUUCUCAAGCUCGCUGAUGUAUAGGACUUUUGCACUCACUUCUCUAAAAUACCCACACAAGUCAAACAACACAGAUGUGACAUAAUCUGGGAGUAGACCUCGGAUAGCAAGUGGCAGGAAAUGUUGCAUUAGUAUAUGACAAUCAUGACUUUUAAGGCCUGAGAUUCUCC
Molecule: long non-coding RNA, 310 nt
Filed under: Hordeum vulgare
Lineage: Eukaryota; Viridiplantae; Streptophyta; Magnoliopsida; Poales; Poaceae
Description: long non-coding RNA (HVUL_LNC013492)
Source: RNAcentral